GCCGAGCUCGGUAAUGUGAGCUUGUAACUCAAAUGAGGGCUUUAAAGUGGUUGAAAGGGGGCUAGGCCCAACGUGUAGGGUCUCUUUGUGGAAUUACACCGGACCGCCCUAUCCAAGAAAGAAGUUGGGCUUUGGGUUCUUGGCGAAGGCCCAGGGUUUCAUUGCCCUUAGAGAUCGAGGAUACCGCGUGAGGCUGGUUCACAGAGCAGCGUCACCUCCCGCUUCUGUCAGUGGAUGGAUUACGGGCCGGUUCUCUUGGGCCCGAACAUACCCGGUGGGAAUGCCUCACAGCCUAACAACCUACUUUU
Molecule: signal recognition particle RNA, 308 nt
Filed under: Cucumis melo (muskmelon)
Lineage: Eukaryota; Viridiplantae; Streptophyta; Magnoliopsida; Cucurbitales; Cucurbitaceae
Description: Plant signal recognition particle RNA
Rfam family: Plant signal recognition particle RNA
Source: Rfam by way of RNAcentral